UACGUAGGGUGCAAGCGUUAAUCGGAAUUACUGGGCGUAAAGCGUGCGCAGGCGGUUUUGUAAGUCAGAUGUGAAAUCCCCGGGCUUAACCUGGGAACUGCGUUUGAAACUACAAGGCUAGAGUGUGGCAGAGGGGGGUGGAAUUCCACGUGUAGCAGUGAAAUUCGUAGAUAUUGGGAAGAACACCGGUGGCGAAGGCGGCUCACUGGCUCAUUACUGACGCUCAGGCGCGAUAGCGUGGGGAUCAAACAGG
RNAcentral lists this ribosomal RNA (253 nucleotides) under uncultured bacterium. RNAcentral describes it as "partial 16S ribosomal RNA". It matches the Rfam family "Bacterial small subunit ribosomal RNA", at positions 524 to 776 of the family's 1533-position model. The record is from RNAcentral.